This 595-nucleotide ribosomal RNA is filed under the name Trichoderma virens. RNAcentral describes it as "eukaryotic LSU rRNA". It matches the Rfam family "Eukaryotic large subunit ribosomal RNA", at positions 36 to 653 of the family's 3401-position model. Lineage: Eukaryota; Fungi; Ascomycota; Sordariomycetes; Hypocreales; Hypocreaceae. The record is from RNAcentral.
AAGCAUAUCAAUAAGCGGAGGAAAAGAAACCAACAGGGAUUGCCCCAGUAACGGCGAGUGAAGCGGCAACAGCUCAAAUUUGAAAUCUGGCCCCUCGGGGUCCGAGUUGUAAUUUGUAGAGGAUGCUUUUGGUGAGGUGCCGCCCGAGUUCCCUGGAACGGGACGCCACAGAGGGUGAGAGCCCCGUCUGGCUGGCCACCGAGCCUCUGUAAAGCUCCUUCGACGAGUCGAGUAGUUUGGGAAUGCUGCUCAAAAUGGGAGGUAUAUGUCUUCUAAAGCUAAAUAUUGGCCAGAGACCGAUAGCGCACAAGUAGAGUGAUCGAAAGAUGAAAAGCACCUUGAAAAGAGGGUUAAAUAGUACGUGAAAUUGUUGAAAGGGAAGCGCUUGUGACCAGACUUGGGCGCGGCGGAUCAUCCGGGGUUCUCUCCGGUGCACUUCGCCGCGUCUAGGCCAGCAUCAGUUCGUCGCGGGGGAAAAAGGCUUCGGGAACGUGGCUCCUCCGGGAGUGUUAUAGCCCGUUGCAUAAUACCCUGCGGUGGACUGAGGACCGCGCAUCUGCAAGGAUGCUGGCGUAAUGGUCACCAGCGACCCGUC